AGUGAACGCUGGCGGCGUGCUUAACACAUGCAAGUCGAACGAGAACGGGCUAUAGCUUGCUAUAGUUGUCAGCUAAGUGGCGCACGGGUGAGUAAUGUAUAGGUAAUAUGCCUCUUACUAAGGGAUAACAAAUGGAAACGUUUGCUAAUACCUUGUACUCCUUAUUAACAGAAGUUAAUAAGGGAAAGAUUUAUUGGUAAGAGAUUAGCCUGUAUUGUAUCAGUUAGUUGGUGGGGUAAUGGCUUACCAAGACUAUGACACAUAACUGGUUUGAGAGGAUGAUCAGUCACUCUGGAACUGAGACACGGUCCAGACUCCUACGGGAGGCAGCAGUGGGGAAUAUUGCACAGUGGACGAAAGUUGGAUGCAGCAACGCCGCGUGGAGGAUGACACAUUUCGGUGCGUAAACUCCUUUUAUAUGAGAAGAUAAUGACGGUAUUAUAUGAAUAAGCACCGGCUAACUCCGUGCCAGCCGCCGCAGUAA
RNAcentral lists this ribosomal RNA (484 nucleotides) under uncultured bacterium. Its description in RNAcentral is "partial 16S ribosomal RNA". It matches the Rfam family "Bacterial small subunit ribosomal RNA", at positions 29 to 523 of the family's 1533-position model. The record is from RNAcentral.